CGCCAAGUCCGAGACUCCGGUGCUCAUCGGGGUCUGGUGCGAAAGGGA
Streptomyces rubrolavendulae is the source of this 48-nucleotide small RNA. It matches the Rfam family "raiA-hairpin RNA". Lineage: Bacteria; Bacillati; Actinomycetota; Actinomycetes; Kitasatosporales; Streptomycetaceae. The record is from Rfam.